This 463-nucleotide ribosomal RNA is filed under the name uncultured bacterium. RNAcentral's name for it is "partial 16S ribosomal RNA". It matches the Rfam family "Bacterial small subunit ribosomal RNA", at positions 28 to 506 of the family's 1533-position model. The record is from RNAcentral.
GACGAACGCUGGCGGCGUGCUUAAUACAUGCAAGUCGAACGGAAGGGCCCUGCUCGCAGGUCACUGGAGUUGCCAACGGGUGAGUAACACGUGGGUGGUCUGCCUUGCUCUUCGGCUUAAGCCAGGUAAACUGGCCCUAAUACCGGAUAGGAGCUAUUUUUAGUGGGAUGGUUGAAAAGUUUUGUCGGUUCAGGUUGAGAUCGAGGCCUAUAAGCUCGUUGGUGGGGUAAUGGCCUACGAAGGCGGCGACGGGUAGCCGGCCUGAGAGGGUGGACCGCCACAUUGGGCCUGAGGUGCGACCCAGAGGCCUACGGGCGGCAGGAGUGGGGAAUAGAGCGAAAAGCGCGCAAGCCUGAUGCAGCGACGCCGCGUGGGAGAUGACGGCCUUCGGGUAGUAAAAUCCUUUCGCUAGAGACGAAGCUUUUGUGACGGUACCUAGCUAAGAAGCACCGGCUAACUACGU